AGAGUUUGAUCAUGGCUCAGGAUGAACGCUAGCUGGAGGCUUAAUACAUGCAAGUCGAGCGGGAUCCAUCCUUCGGGGUGGUGAGAGCGGCGCACGGGUGAGUAACGCGUACACAACCUACCUCUGACAGGGGGAUAGCCCUGGGAAACUGGGAUUAAUACCGCAUAUGGUUCCGAUAUAUAAAAGAUUGGAAUGAAAGUUCAGGCGGUCAGAGAUGGGUGUGCGUCUGAUUAGCUAGUUGGUAGGGUAACGGCCUACCAAGGCGAUGAUCAGUAGGGGGCGUGAGAGCGUGGUCCCCCACACGGGUACUGAGACACGGACCCGACUCCUACGGGAGGCAGCAGUAAGGAAUAUUGGACAAUGGCCGCAAGGCUGAUCCAGCCAUCCAGCGUGCAGGAAGAAGGCCCUACGGGUUGUAAACUGCUUUUGUCAGGGAAGAAACCUCUGGAUUGACUCCGGAGCUGACGGUACCUGAAGAAUAAGCACCGGCUAACUCCGUGCCAGCAGCCGCGGUAAUACGGAGGGUGCGAGCGUUAUCCGGAAUUACUGGGUUUAAAGGGUGCGUAGGCGGCCAGGUAAGUCAGGAGUGAAAGUUUGCGGCUCAACCGUAAAAUUGCUUUUGAUACUGCUUGGCUAGAAUUAGGAUGAGGUCAGCGGAAUGUGGCAUGUAGCGGUGAAAUGCAUAGAUAUGCCAUAGAACACCAAUUGCGAAGGCAGCUGGCUAGACCUGGAUUGACGCUGAGGCACGAAAGCGUGGGGAGCGAACAGGAUUAGAUACCCUAGUAGUCC
This 789-nucleotide ribosomal RNA is filed under the name uncultured bacterium. Its description in RNAcentral is "bacterial SSU rRNA". It matches the Rfam family "Bacterial small subunit ribosomal RNA", at positions 8 to 796 of the family's 1533-position model. The record is from RNAcentral.